RNAcentral lists this transfer RNA (82 nucleotides) under Staphylothermus hellenicus DSM 12710. Its description in RNAcentral is "tRNA-Thr". It matches the Rfam family "tRNA". From Rfam's summary of the family: Transfer RNA (tRNA) molecules are approximately 80 nucleotides in length. Their secondary structure includes four short double-helical elements and three loops (D, anti-codon, and T loops). Lineage: Archaea; Thermoproteati; Thermoproteota; Thermoprotei; Desulfurococcales; Desulfurococcaceae. The record is from RNAcentral.
GCCGCCGUAGCUCAGCCUGGUUGGAGCGCCGCCCUGGUAACAUAGGCGGAGGUCCCGGGUUCGAAUCCCGGCGGCGGCUCCA